AACGAACGCUGGCGGCAUGCCUAACACAUGCAAGUCGAACGAGACCUUCGGGUCUAGUGGCGCACGGGUGCGUAACGCGUGGGAACCUGCCCUUAGGUUCGGAAUAACUCCCCGAAAGGGGUGCUAAUACCGGAUAAUGUCUUCGGACCAAAGAUUUAUCGCCUUUGGAUGGGCCCGCGUUGGAUUAGCUAGUUGGUAGGGUAAAAGCCUACCAAGGCGACGAUCCAUAGCUGGUCUGAGAGGAUGAUCAGCCACACUGGGACUGAGACACGGCCCAGACUCCUACGGGAGGCAGCAGUGGGGAAUAUUGGACAAUGGGCGAAAGCCUGAUUCAGCAAUGCCGCGUGAGUGAUGAAGGCCUUAGGGUUGUAAAGCUCUUUUACCCGGGAUGAUAAUGACAGUACCGGGAGAAUAAGCGCCGGCUAACUCCGUG
This 433-nucleotide ribosomal RNA is filed under the name uncultured bacterium. RNAcentral's name for it is "partial 16S ribosomal RNA". It matches the Rfam family "Bacterial small subunit ribosomal RNA", at positions 29 to 507 of the family's 1533-position model. The record is from RNAcentral.